GACGAACGCUGGCGGCGUGCUUAACACAUGCAAGUCGAACGGAAAGGCCCUGCUUUUGUGGGGUGCUCGAGUGGCGAACGGGUGAGUAACACGUGAGUAACCUGCCCUUGACUUUGGGAUAACUUCAGGAAACUGGGGCUAAUACCGGAUAGGAGCUCCUGCUGCAUGGUGGGGGUUGGAAAGUUUCGGCGGUUGGGGAUGGACUCGCGGCUUAUCAGCUUGUUGGUGGGGUAGUGGCUUACCAAGGCUUUGACGGGUAGCCGGCCUGAGAGGGUGACCGGCCACAUGAGGACUGGGAUACGGCCCAGACUCCUACGGGAGGCAGCAGUGGGGAAUAUUGCACAAUGGGCGGAAGCCUGAUGCAGCAACGCCGCGUGCGGGAUGACGGCCUUCGGGUUGUAAACCGCUUUCGCCUGUGACGAAGCGUGAGUGACGGUAAUGGGUAAAGAAGCACCGGCUAACUACGUG
This 468-nucleotide ribosomal RNA is filed under the name uncultured bacterium. RNAcentral's name for it is "partial 16S ribosomal RNA". It matches the Rfam family "Bacterial small subunit ribosomal RNA", at positions 28 to 507 of the family's 1533-position model. The record is from RNAcentral.